This is a long non-coding RNA of Zingiber officinale, 1002 nucleotides long. RefSeq lists it as uncharacterized. The record is from RefSeq and is a predicted model, not a curated record. Lineage: Eukaryota; Viridiplantae; Streptophyta; Magnoliopsida; Zingiberales; Zingiberaceae. The transcript has 3 exons.
CCCCUUCUCUCGUGAAGCUUCAGUGUCACGUGGUUGAUCGAUCUGGUUGUCGCCCCCGCCGACACCACCGAUCCACCGUCGAGCUCUCCCUCUUCCUCUCCUCUUCAUCGCCGUGCGACCCACCCGCACGUCACCGAGCCACCUACCUUGUCGGGCAGCCCUUGUGCGACGACCGCCACUAUGUGACGAUCUCCUCUUUCCCUUUCCUCGAUCGCACGUUAUCUUUUCCUUUCCUCACCAUCGAUGUGAACCACACCAGUACACCUAGGGAAAGGGGGUUCUUUCACUCCAAUCUCCACCAAAGACUUGAGACGCGGCUGGAGAGCCGAUUUGCCGUCAUCUCACGCCAAUGAACAUAGGGCAACAAUUAUUGUUAUUGCUAAUGUUGCUGCCACAGUGAGGUCUCCGCCGUUGGUACUUCUUCUCCAUGCUUGGCCGUUGCCACCAAUGCUGCCCUCCCUUCCGGAAUGUUUUGAUUUGGAGGAUUGUACAGUCACCUAGUUCCGACCAUCUUGUUCCUAUAAUGAACAUCCCUGACCAUGAGUCGAUGGAGGAGCAAUUCGAAAUGAGGACGAGCACUUCGAUGUGGGGAUUGUUUAGCUCGAUCUACAUUUAGAGGCAGGUAUUUCUUGCUUUAUCUCUUUAGUACAUUGAUCUUAGUACAUGAGCUAUAUUUUCGGAUAGUUCCUGUAUUUAUCUUGAUUCCACUCGUAUUUUUCUUGUGCUAGAAGCUUAUCUACUCGAUCUUUGAGCUACUCGUUUCAGUAUCUAUACAGUCUCUCGUUGUUAUCCAUGAUAUUUUGCAGAUGGCAGUUACCAGAUACUAGAUAUUAGAUAUUGGAUACCAGAUACUGGAUGUUGGAUCGCAACGACCGGCUUGAAGGGGGUUGGAUAGCCUGCAAAGACAAAAACAAAAGCUAAUCCUUUUCGAACUCUCAACAGAACACUUGCAUAAAUAUAUUAAACAAAUAAACUAAAAGUAAGAGACAAAAGAGAUUUACU